This 1919-nucleotide long non-coding RNA is filed under the name Ornithorhynchus anatinus (platypus). RNAcentral describes it as "lncRNA (ENSOANG00000035990.1)". The stretch from base 1802 to 1874 matches the Rfam family "tRNA". Lineage: Eukaryota; Metazoa; Chordata; Mammalia; Monotremata; Ornithorhynchidae. The record is from RNAcentral.
UCCAACCACGUCCAGGGAGUUUCUCCAGCCUCAAGCUGACAAGGCUUCUGGGUUUCCAUGGGUGAGGAGGAUGAUGGUGUUGGCCAAGGCCAGGUGGGCGAGGAUCAGUUCGGAGGAGCUGGGCUUGGGGCUGGCGGAGAUGACACUUGCAUAGAACAGGAGGAGGAAGACGUUUGCUACAGAUCCGAUGCUGAUCUGCAACAGAAUCGCGGUGCCAAAGGAGAGCUCCGUGCCAUCCAUCCUCUCCAAACCUCAGUUAGAAGCAGAAGAGGGCUCCAGCAGGGUGACCUAGGAUGGGGAAUCAGAGAGAGAGAGAAUAUGAGAAGACAGAGAGAACACUCCGAGCAUCCUCAGUCCCCAGAGCCCGGGCCUGCCUUGGGGACGUGGUCCUGGUAAUGGAAAGGUGGGAGCCCUGGGAAAAUGUCCUUCAGCCCUGAUUCCCAGCCCAGAGCUCCAGGCUGGAGCUGCAGAGUCCCGAAGGAAAGACCUGAAAAAUCACCGACAGAGAGACAGCUUCAUCCUACUCACCCAUCUCCAUCGCUUGUGCUGGCUGGGUGGGCGGUGCACGGACAGUCAGAGUCCGGCAGGAAGAGGUUGAGGCAGCAUUUAUCAGCCCUUCUCCCCUCCUUCGGGAAGUGAUUAGCGUGUGUUGUGAAUGAGUGACUUGCUGAGCACUAGUUCACUCUGACACUCCAACUGAGACUUCUCCGGAAAUGCUCAGUCUUCCCUCCCUGCUGCCUCAGGGUCAAGACGAGCCCGGAUCUCUCUCCGCAAUCACCUGCCGUGAAUUGACCAUCAGAGAUGUCCAUGAAGAGAUAUGGCAGCAUCAGGGUUGUAUCCUGCAACACCGGUGACAUCCCAGCUCCCAUGCACAGCCCAGCUCUGCCAGGAGCCAAGCCUGGGUCUCUAGUGGGUGUCUGACAGUCUCCCUCGCAGGGUCACUCAGGGUCACAAGCGCUACUUGCCCCAGCCCCCAUCACUCUCCUACCUGUCUUUAUGUCUCAUCAUCAUCGAUCUGCUCAGCCAGGUAUCAUGAGUUGGUACACUCGAGAGGUGGGAGUUGCUGCUUUAUUUCAUUCCCAGUCUGGCAGCCAAAGGACCUGAGUUGGGCUUUUUCUCUUAAGUGUAAUCAAGCUCAGAGCCUGGUCCAGUUUAGCGUCCCAGAACUGGGGGUAUCAAAUAUUCUGGCUUAGUUCCCACAUAUAUUCCAGGAAUAAAAGAAAAGCAAAGAGAAAACCUUUCCAGUGCCCACAUGCUAUGGCUCAGGUUUGAACCGAGGUUGCUGCAAACACAACGCAGAGUACUAACCACUAUACGAUCAUGGCGCACCACCAGAGUACAUCUUACUGUACUAGCCCUCUCUCCUUCAGAUAGAUCUAUAAAUCACUGAAUCCCGCUCUUUCCGCUUACUAUCAUUCUCUCUGAAGUUUUUCAGUUUCGAGUUUCUGCCCCAAAACCUCUUCACCUCUUAGCACAUCCCCUUUUAAUCAAUCAGUCAGUCAAUCAAUUGUAUUUAUUGAAGGCCUACUGUGAGCAAAGCACUAUACUGUAGAGAACUAUUCUUGAAGACUUGAGUGCACAAGGGUUUUGGUGACUCCACGAACCUGAGGCUCGGUGUCUUCUCCUUCCCCACCCUGUAUUACUUAGGGAGGUCCUGCCAGUUUGGUGACUCUCUGGAGAAUGUGCCCAUCCAUUCACACUGAUCCUCGUUUCGAUUGGACAGAUAACUACAAAUAUUAGUGAAUACAGCAGACCUUUGAUCUUGUUCUAUUGAGUGUUCCCCUAAAGCAUUACCUGUGUUGGGGAAUUAGCUCAGAUGGUAGAGUGCUUGCUUAGCAUGUGAGAGGUGGUGAGAUUGAUCCCCAUAUUCUCCAAUUUUCUUGGUUUUGGGCUAGAUAAAAGUCCCAGGAAGGCAUGGC